AUUGAACGCUGGCGGAAUGCUUUACACAUGCAAGUCGAACGGCAGCACGGACUUCGGGCUGGUGGCGAGUGGCGAACGGGUGAGUAACAUAUCGGAACGUAUCCAAUAAUGGGGGAUAACUAAUCGAAAGGUUGGCUAAUACCGCAUACGCCCUACGGGGGAAAGCAGGGGAUCUUCGGACCUUGCGUUAAUGGAGCGGCUGAUAUCUGAUUAGCUGAUCGGGAAGGUAAAGGCUAACCGAGGCGACGAUCAGUAGCUGGUCUGAGAGGACGACCAUCCACACUGGAACUGAAAAGCGGUCCAGACUCGUACGGGAGGCAGGAGUGGGGGAUGUUGUACAAUGGGCGCAAGCCUAGUCCAGCCAUUCCGCGUGAGUGAAGAAGGCCUUCGGGUUGUAAAGCUCUUUCGCAAGGGAAGAAAACUUACUUUCUAAUAAAGAGGGAGGUUGACGGUACCUUGAUAAGAAGCACCGGCUAACUACGUGCCAGCAGCCGCCGUAA
RNAcentral lists this ribosomal RNA (500 nucleotides) under uncultured bacterium. RNAcentral describes it as "partial 16S ribosomal RNA". It matches the Rfam family "Bacterial small subunit ribosomal RNA", at positions 30 to 523 of the family's 1533-position model. The record is from RNAcentral.